GUAGAUGGACUGCUAAUUUUUAUACGUUUAUCUGCUGAAUUUCCAUCUCACCUCAUCAGCAUGAGAAGAUCGACACAACUGCCCUGAUGCUUCAGCGUGAGCAGAAACACAAGGCCAGAAUGUUGUUCUUUAUGUUUAAAUAUGGCAGCUAUAAUUAGCCGGGAAAUUAUUUUCCCCAAUGUAAUGGAGCUGAACUUGUCUUUAAUUACGCUUGAGUGAAAUCAUCAUCAACUGCUUGGAGGAAAAAUAAAAAGAGAGAUGAAAAGGAGAACAGAAUGAAAGACAGACGGAUGGAGAAGUAAAAGGUUUCUUCAUUAAAGAGAGUUGCUCUCGUCUCAGCGCUGACAUUCCUGCUGUCAGGAGAUUCUGCUUAGUAACCCGUUGUCAUGGUGGUGGUCCUGCGCUCUGAUUGGACGAGAGGCAAGGCCGCUCAGGGAUCCAGUUUGCAUGCAGGAGAGAGAUUACAGUCGGAUCUGUGUUGUGGUCUGUUGAACAGCCUGACCCUUCAUGCACUUCGGAUUAGCUCCAGUUACCAUUAAUGGAAAGUAGAGCAGUCGACUGGCCCGAAUUCAGUUGGUUUCAGUGCGAAUGACUCCAUUAGCAGCGAGAUGCCCAUCGUGUCUCCAGCAGCAGCUAAAGGUUAUUCUUCUGUAAAGCGAGUCUCCGAUGGGACGAGCGGAGAGGAGAAGCGCUGAUGUGUGUUGGGCUGGAGACAAGGCCUGUCUUUGUGUUGGGAGAGUGAAUGAUGAAUAUGCUCUCUAGACUUCACUCUUCCAUCCGACAAUGAUGUUGGAAAGCUACCGGCUCGUUCAGUCACUGCUUCUUUCCUCUUGUGUUUGGUGAGGUAAUAAACUCUGCUUUAAAUAUCCUGAACCUCACAAGGACGCAGUCCCAACCACUCAAUCAUUAUUCAGAAUAAACAGCAGUCAUUUCAUUAGUUUAUGCACACAACUGUAGCUGCGGUAUAUU
Cyprinus carpio carpio is the source of this 969-nucleotide long non-coding RNA. The record is from Ensembl. Lineage: Eukaryota; Metazoa; Chordata; Actinopteri; Cypriniformes; Cyprinidae.